GGCCUUAUGGUCUAGUAGCAUGAUUCCUCCUUUGGGUGUCUACCUAACUGGAGGAGGUCCUGGGUUCAACUCCCAGUGAGGCCC
Molecule: non-coding RNA, 84 nt
Organism: Pholiota molesta
Lineage: Eukaryota; Fungi; Basidiomycota; Agaricomycetes; Agaricales; Strophariaceae
Source: the annotation of a GenBank genome assembly